GUUGGCCUAGUGGUUAGAGCGAACGUCUAGGAUGCGUCAGGUUGUGGGUUCCAUCCCCGGUCGAGUCA
Potamilus streckersoni is the source of this 68-nucleotide non-coding RNA. The record is from the annotation of a GenBank genome assembly. NCBI's taxonomy places the organism in Eukaryota, Metazoa, Mollusca, Bivalvia, Unionida, Unionidae.